Molecule: long non-coding RNA, 507 nt
Organism: Scaptodrosophila lebanonensis
Lineage: Eukaryota; Metazoa; Arthropoda; Insecta; Diptera; Drosophilidae
Exons: 2
Source: RefSeq, a predicted model, not a curated record
UCUUUUCAUAUCUUACAUUGUUUCCCCGCUUUUAAGAUAAUUCGUAGAGUUUGUUUGGUUGCGCGCUUUAAUUAUGCCAAAGCAAAUGCGUGAGGUACCAUAUCUGGGCCGAUGACGCUAUCUAGCUCCCGCUGGAAGAUAGCUGGGGCUGAAUGCAGCCCAAAUGGAAUUGGAUCGCCAUUGGAAAAGGCCCCGUCCGGCCAUUGUGCUUACAACUGAUCCGUUCCAUGGGGAUCUGCCAGUAUCCGUAAAUUUCGUAAAUCGAUUCUGCUGAUGUACUUUGCUUGAUGUAGCUGGUCGAGGAUGUACUGGAUUCUCAGAAUGGAGUAUGCGUCUGGCUCUGAGCGCUCAUUUAGCUGGCGGUCGUCGACUUGGUGGUCAAUCAUGGAGCCCCAGUUGGGUUUACUACCACCAGCGCUGCACAUCGUGCACUUAGUAAAAUUUUGGUAACCAUAAUGCUAAAUAAAUUACUUUUAAUAGCCAAUUAAUGCCAUUACAGCAAAUCUA